GUGCACACAUUGGCAGCACAUAUACUAAAAUUGGAAUGAUGUAGAGAAGAUUAGUAUGGCCCCUGCACAAGGAUGACACGCAAAUUCGUGAAGCAUUCCAUAUCUUU
Molecule: small nuclear RNA, 107 nt
Organism: Suncus etruscus (white-toothed pygmy shrew)
Lineage: Eukaryota; Metazoa; Chordata; Mammalia; Eulipotyphla; Soricidae
Source: RefSeq, a predicted model, not a curated record